RNAcentral lists this transfer RNA (68 nucleotides) under Paratetraonchoides inermis. RNAcentral's name for it is "tRNA-Ile". The record is from RNAcentral. Lineage: Eukaryota; Metazoa; Platyhelminthes; Monogenea; Dactylogyridea; Tetraonchoididae.
AUUGAUAGGGCUGCAAGUAGCAGGUUAUUGUGAUAUAAUAAUAUUUAAAGAAUAAUCUUUCUUCAAUA